GACGAACGCUGGCGGCGUGCUUAACACAUGCAAGUCGAACGAAGUGGCGAACGGGUGAGUAACGCGUAAUCAAACUGCCCUUCAGAGGGGGAAAACAGUUGGAAACGACUGCUAAUACCGCAUACUUACGGAGGGGAUGGCGUCUGAUUAGCUAGUUGGAGGGGUAACGGCCCACCAAGGCGAUGAACAGUAGCCGGCCUUAGAGGAUGACCGGCCACAUUGGGACUGAGACACGGCCCAGACUCCUACGGGAGGCAGCAGUGGGGAAUCUUCCUCAAUGGACGAAAGUCUGACGGAGCAACGCCGCGUGAGUGAUGACGGCCUUCGGGUUGUAAAGCUCUGUUAAUCGGGACGCGGUACCGGAAUAGAAAGCCACGGCUAACUACGUGCCAGCCGCCGCGGUAAUAC
This 408-nucleotide ribosomal RNA is filed under the name uncultured bacterium. RNAcentral describes it as "partial 16S ribosomal RNA". It matches the Rfam family "Bacterial small subunit ribosomal RNA", at positions 28 to 526 of the family's 1533-position model. The record is from RNAcentral.